Molecule: ribosomal RNA, 255 nt
Filed under: uncultured prokaryote
Description: partial 16S ribosomal RNA
Rfam family: Bacterial small subunit ribosomal RNA
Source: RNAcentral
AAUACGUAGGGGGCAAGCGUUGUCCGGAAUUACUGGGCGUAAAGCGUGCGCAGGCGGUUUCGUAAGUCUGUCGUGAAAUCCCCGGGCUUAACCUGGGAAUGGCGAUGGAGACUGCGAGGCUAGAGUUUGGCAGAGGGGGGUAGAAUUCUACGUGUAGCAGUGAAAUGCGUAGAGAUGUGGAGGAACACCGAUGGCGAAGGCAGCCCCCUGGGUCAAAACUGACGCUCAUGCACGAAAGCGUGGGGAGCAAACAGG